RNAcentral lists this ribosomal RNA (776 nucleotides) under uncultured Neocallimastigales. RNAcentral describes it as "partial large subunit ribosomal RNA". It matches the Rfam family "Eukaryotic large subunit ribosomal RNA", at positions 23 to 620 of the family's 3401-position model. Lineage: Eukaryota; Fungi; Neocallimastigomycota; Neocallimastigomycetes; Neocallimastigales. The record is from RNAcentral.
AAGAGAGAGACAUGCGCGCAUAUCAAUAAGCGGAGGAAAAGAAACUAACAAGGAUUCCCUUAGUAACGGCGAGUGAAGCGGGAAGAGCUCAAAUUUGAAAUCUUCAAGGUUUUACCUUGACGAAUUGUAGUUUAAAGAAGUGUUUUCUGCUGAAGUUUUGGUAAAAGUUCUUUGGUAUAGGACAUCAUAGAGGGUGAGAAUCCCGUAUUUGACCAUUAUUUUCAGCUUUGUGAUACACUUUCAAAGAGUCGGAUUGUUUGGGAAUGCAGUCCAAAAUGGGUGGUAAAUUUCAUCUAAAGCUAAAUAUUGGCGAGAGACCGAUAGCGAACAAGUACCGUGAGGGAAAGAUGAAAAGAACUUUGAAAAGAGAGUUAAACAGUACGUGAAAUUGUCAAAAGGGAAGCGUUUGACACCAGUGUUGUUUUCUCGAAAAUCAAUUAAAAAUGGCUCGAUUUUGUAUUGCUUGAGACCUUAAAAGCUCACUGUACAUUUUUCGUGUCUUUUUUAAUGCACUUUUCGUUUAACAAGUCAACAUCAGUUUCUUUUGUUGUAAAAGGGUCAUUGGAAGGUGGCUUUCUUUUCGGAGAAAGUGUUUAUAGCCUUUGGCCUCUGCAAUCGGAGAGACUGAGGUCUGCAGCGUAGACUCUUCGGGGUUAGAUACAUUUGUGCUAAGUUAUAGCUUUUUAUAGACAACUUGUUGACUAUAAUUAGUCUUGUAGCUUACUCGCUUAUGCUAUUUUACCUACGCUUAGGAUGUUGAAGAUGUAGCACAUCAU